Molecule: RNA transcript, 1460 nt
Organism: Hordeum vulgare subsp. vulgare (domesticated barley)
Lineage: Eukaryota; Viridiplantae; Streptophyta; Magnoliopsida; Poales; Poaceae
Exons: 2
Source: RefSeq, a predicted model, not a curated record
CUAUAUGUGGAUGUUAAAAUAUAAAAUGCACCCACCUUCUGUUUGUCGCAAGUCUAUAUAUGGCUCAGACCUUGAAGUGGUAAGGAUGUGUGUUUGACUGACUAUUCUGUUUCUAGAUAUCAAUAGUAUGUUGCAAAUUGAUAAGUAUACUGUAGAUAGUUAUAAAACCAAAUUAUCACCAAGUAUGUGCAAACUUACUGCAUAGACUUCUUUUAGGGUGAGCCUGUACAGAUUAUUAUCCAUGUCUUUUUUAUGAUCAAAUUAUUGAUAUAUUACAAUGAGCCUUUAUGUUUGGCACCCACCGUUCCAUGGCCCAAUGGUGCAAGACUGUAAGUCGAUAUUAUCUCUGUGGUUAGUUUUGUUGGGACCAAGCCUAGUAGUUAAUGCACUUCAUCUUCUUAUGUUCUCCAUAGUAUUAUAUAGUCUUUGUCUCUAGGACACAUCUAAUGCUGUAGACAUCUAAUUUUUCCUAUUAAUUUGAAUGGCGCAUGUUUUAUCUGCAUUAAUGCAGUCUGUUCUAUAAUUUGUUACAACUAGUGCAUAGUCACGCACUUCGUGCAUUUAUUAUAUCUUGUUUUAUUGCACCAUAGGUUGUACUUUUGUAGAACAAAGUUAAUGUUCUCAAGUAUCACAGUUCUAGUAUGUAUCACUCACUUUGUACUGGAAAUGCAACAUCUUGCUUGUAGUGCGUUCCUAGCACACACUUUAUGUUCCUACAAUCACUAAUUAUACUCAAGCAUGGUGGGUUCCCAAUGUUGUUGUUGCACAUGAAAAGGAAGGGAUAGAUGCUAUUCAUCUAGCUUCUGGUCGUACGAUUUGCAAGGUGAUGGAGAUUUUAAUUGAUAAGUAUGCUGACAAAUCAAUAUGGAACGAUUGAUGUGCACAUCCAACCAAUGCAAGCAUCUAUCAGUUUUCCAGUUGUGUGCUACAUCUCCUGCAUGCUGAUUCUAAUAUCAUUCCAAUGCAGUUGGUUGGUCCAGGGUGACGUUUUCUGCAUCUUUUGUUUCCUCAAUUCUUAAUGUUUGGCAGGGACUUGGAUUUCCAUGUGUGGGAUAGAGGCUUCUAUUAUCUUGAUGAUUUUUUUUCGUAAGAAUUUUAUCAAUUAUUAAAUGUUACACUGUAGGCCUGUCUGAUGGUUAGAGAGUGGUCUUGAAGAUAUUUUUAGCUUUCUAGACGGUCCCCAUAGUUUAUUAGUAAUGCUACUGGUGGUUGUUAGGAUCAGCUCAUGAUCUUGUUAUGUGUAGAUAUUCAUCCGUAUAUAUGGGACUGAGGGAUGUGAUCUGACCUUUUAAUUAGGAUUCUUUUUAAUUAGCAAGCCUGACGGUCUCCAUUCCUAGGUUAGUGUUAUCUGUUUUUUGUUGGUGAGUUGUGCCCUGCUGAUUUCUCUUUUAUUUAGUACAGUAGUAAAACUGUAAUAAACUUCAUGUAUGAUUCUGUCUAAUGGUCGUUCCGCUUCCGCA